GAACGCACAUUGCGCCUCCUGGUAAUCCGUGAGGCAUGCCUGUUCGAGCGUCACUAUAAAUCAACUCGACCACACCGGUGGUUGGUCAUGGAGGAAGAGUCCAUCUCGUUGUGCGUCUCCCCUCCCAAAAUCAACGGCGGAAUGUCACUGGCACUCGGCGUAGUAGUAUUAUUCGUCGAUCACCCAGUGUUGUUCCUGCCUCCCAAACCCCCACAAUUCUCUUGAUUGACCUCGGAUCAGGUAGGGAUACCCGCUGAACUUA
Molecule: unclassified non-coding RNA, 262 nt
Filed under: Sepultaria tenuis
Lineage: Eukaryota; Fungi; Ascomycota; Pezizomycetes; Pezizales; Pyronemataceae
Description: Geopora tenuis sequence contains 5.8S rRNA gene
Source: RNAcentral